This 208-nucleotide unclassified non-coding RNA is filed under the name Hevea brasiliensis (rubber tree). The record is from RNAcentral. Lineage: Eukaryota; Viridiplantae; Streptophyta; Magnoliopsida; Malpighiales; Euphorbiaceae.
UUCUUUUGGUUAUAAAGUGCAAUUUGUUAAAUUUACCUCAUUUGAGCCAUUUAUUGAAAUUAUAAAUUUAUUUGAGGCUCCAAAAAUUUUAUAAAAAAUUCAACAGAGUACCGACUAAAAAUGGAAAAUGUUCUCCGGAACCUAUGAAAAACACUUCCAAUACGUUUUCAAUCAUUCCCAAACUCCAUUAUAUCAACAAAGUCUCAAU